CCUACGGGUGGCAGCAGUGAGGAAUAUUGGUCAAUGGGCGCGAGCCUGAACCAGCCAAGUAGCGUGAAGGAUGACGGCCCUACGGGUUGGAAACUUCUUGUAUAAAGGAAUAAAGUGAGGCACGUGGGCCGUUUUGUAUGUACUUUAUGAAUAAGGAUCGGCUAACUCCGUGCCAGCAGCCGCGGUAAUACGGAGGAUCCGAGCGUUCUCCUGAUUUAUUGGGGUGAAAGGGAGCGUAGAUGGGUUGUUCAGUCAGUGGUGAAAGUUUGCGGCUCAACCGUAAAAUUUCACUUGAUACUGGCAGUCUUGAGUACAGUUGAGGUCGGCGGAAUUCGUGGUGUAGCGG
RNAcentral lists this ribosomal RNA (346 nucleotides) under uncultured bacterium. Its description in RNAcentral is "partial 16S ribosomal RNA". It matches the Rfam family "Bacterial small subunit ribosomal RNA", at positions 338 to 681 of the family's 1533-position model. The record is from RNAcentral.